Molecule: signal recognition particle RNA, 259 nt
Filed under: Chlorocebus sabaeus (green monkey)
Lineage: Eukaryota; Metazoa; Chordata; Mammalia; Primates; Cercopithecidae
Description: Metazoan signal recognition particle RNA
Rfam family: Metazoan signal recognition particle RNA
About the family: The signal recognition particle (SRP) is a universally conserved ribonucleoprotein. It is involved in the co-translational targeting of proteins to membranes. The eukaryotic SRP consists of a 300-nucleotide 7S RNA and six proteins: SRPs 72, 68, 54, 19, 14, and 9.
Source: Rfam by way of RNAcentral
GCCAGGCGUGGUGGCGGGCGCCUGUAGUCCCAGCUACUCGGGAGGCUGAGGCAGGAGAAUGGCGUGAACCUGGGAGGCGGAGCUUGCAGUGAACAGAGACUGUGCCACUGCACUCCAGCCUGGGUGACAGAGUGAGACUCUGUCUACNNNNNNNNNNGUAGACAGAGUCUCACUCUGUCACCCAGGCUGGAGUGCAGUGGCACAGUCUCUGUUCACUGCAAGCUCCGCCUCCCAGGUUCACGCCAUUCUCCUGCCUCAG